AGCACGUGGUUAAUUCGAUGCAAACCGAAGAACCUUACCUGGGUUUGACAUGUGCGUGUUACUGAGGUGAAAGCCGAGGGACCAUAUCUUCGGAUGUGGAGCGUACACAGGUGCUGCAUGGCUGUCGUCAGCUCGUGUCGUGAGAUGUUGGGUUAAGUCCCGCAACGAGCGCAACCCUUAUCAUUAGUUGCUACGCAAGGGCACUCUAAUGAGACUGCCGGUGACAAACCGGAGGAAGGUGGGGAUGACGUCAAGUCCUCAUGGCCCUUAUGGGUAGGGCUUCACACGUCAUACAAUGGUCGGUACAGAGGGUUGCCAAGCCGCGAGGCGGAGCCAAUCCCACAAAGCCGAUCGUAGUCCGGAUUGUUCUCUGCAACUCGAGAGCAUGAAGUCGGAAUCGCUAGUAAUCGCAGGUCAGCAUACUGCGGUGAAUACGUUCCCGGGUCUU
This 448-nucleotide ribosomal RNA is filed under the name uncultured Thiobacillus sp. RNAcentral's name for it is "bacterial SSU rRNA". It matches the Rfam family "Bacterial small subunit ribosomal RNA", at positions 936 to 1382 of the family's 1533-position model. The record is from RNAcentral. Lineage: Bacteria; Pseudomonadati; Pseudomonadota; Betaproteobacteria; Nitrosomonadales; Thiobacillaceae.